GUGUCAGCCGCCGCGGUAAGACGAACCGUGCGAACGUUGUUCGGAAUCACUGGGCUUAAAGGGAGCGUAGGCGGGCUAUCAAGUCUGGGGUGAAAUCCCACGGCUCAACCGUGGAACUGCCUCAGAUACUGACGGCCUCGAGGGAGAUAGGGGCAUGCGGAACUGUAGGUGGAGCGGUGAAAUGCGUUGAUAUCUACAGGAACUCCGGUGGCGAAAGCGGCGUGCUGGAUCUCUUCUGACGCUGAGGCUCGAAAGCUAGGGGAGCAAACGGGAUUAGAUACCCCGGUAGUCCUAGCCCUAAACGAUGGGUACUAGAUAGUAGACUAGAUAUGAGUUUACUGUCGAAGUUAAAAUGCUAAGUACCCCGCCUGGGGAGUAUGGUCGCAAGGCUGAA
RNAcentral lists this ribosomal RNA (394 nucleotides) under uncultured bacterium. RNAcentral describes it as "bacterial SSU rRNA". It matches the Rfam family "Bacterial small subunit ribosomal RNA", at positions 505 to 898 of the family's 1533-position model. The record is from RNAcentral.